Molecule: long non-coding RNA, 4996 nt
Organism: Triticum aestivum (bread wheat)
Lineage: Eukaryota; Viridiplantae; Streptophyta; Magnoliopsida; Poales; Poaceae
Exons: 8
Source: RefSeq, a predicted model, not a curated record
CGUUGGCCGUCUCUGUUGCCGGGCUGCGUGGCGGGCCGUGGUGCUCCUCCGGAGGGAGGAGCAUUGCUGCCGGGAUGUGGUUGUCGCCGCUGUAGACGGCCGUGCCGAUGGAGGCCGCGGGUGCGGCCUCAACCAUCGCAUCCAGGGGGAAAAGGGAGGAGGAGAGUGGACGAGCGGCCGCCGCUUAGACCUUCCUCCGUCCGGAAUCGAGUCCGCUGAUCCGCGGCCGAUCUCAUUUAAGAGAGUGUGUUCGAGGCUUCCAAUUCUUGAAUCGAUGGAGGCUGGCGCUGCGUUCUUCCAUCGGUUCUUCUUUCUUUGUAGUUCACGAUUGAUCAAUUCUUCGUGAGAUUCGUGUGAGCGCAUAUACAUACAGGAGAAAAACAAUUCAUUGUUAGAUUAUUAAUUGAUGAUUGCAAGAAGACAAGAUCAAUCAAUCAAUCUCCCUGAUUAGUUUCUUUCCUUUUUGUACGAGGAACAUCUCGUCUUCGCCGUGAAUCGCGUGGUGGCCGAAACUCUAGUAGCCAACUUCUCCAGACUUCUCCAGUCAUCGUCUGCGGCAAUUGCAGAUCGCCGGAGUGGCCUCCUCUGGCCAUAGAGAGGCCUUGCCGUUUGCCGCCGCUGUCGUCGGCAGUCAUGUGGCGGAUUGAAGCGCCGGAGGGCGCCGCUUCGACGCGCCUACAGAGGAGGGCGUCGUCAACCAUGGGGUGCCUCAGCCGCCUGCAUCGCGCGCUGGUGCUGCGCCGCUGGAGCGCUGUCGAGGCCGAGGGUCCUCGUGUCCUUGGGGCCGGAGGGAGGGUCAGGGACGGUGGAGCCGUCGAGUUCUUGGCCUAAUUGCUCUCUGGAAGAGGCGUGCGUGAUAACGUGUUGGAGAGAAUCGAGAGAGAGGAGCGAAUGGAAAACAGAUAUAUGAAUGAACCGUUAUUCUAUUGAUUGAAGAUUGGGGUAUUUAUACCCAGUUUACAAGGCGGUUACAAAAGGAGGCAGUUGCCAAAAGUGGCACCGACAUAGCAGUGAUUAAUAGUUAAUUAACCUAAUUAAUUAAUUCCUAACACCUCGCACGCGACCUCCUUGUCUCCCUCACUCACGCCUCUUCUCCUCGGCCCCCCGCGCGCUGUCCAUCGGCGGACGAGGAAGGCUGGUGCCAGCAACGACCGCAGAGAGCUACGUCGGUCGGCAGUGGAGGUGCGGCUGCGGCUGCGGCCGAUGGGCAUAGCAGAGCGAAGCGGCGCGGCGGCCGAGCGCGAUCCGUGGACAUCGACCUUAGAGACCAAGCUGGGAGGAAGGAGGAGAAGAGGCUGGAACUGGGGGGACUCGGCGGAGGAGUAGAGGCCGCAGCGGUGGAUCGGAGUUUGUAUAGCGGGACGGCGGUGAGGAAGGCGAGCCGGAGGUGCCCUCGCUGCUGCCCCCACCACUUCGCGUCUGUACAGGUCGUUGCUGCCGCUGCUCUUCUUCCGUUAGGAAGAAAGGUCGAUAAAUGCAACAAGGGAUUAUCAAGUACAAGAAGAAGUGCGUGCAUGGGACGAGCAAGCUAAUUCCUGGAAGCGGACUUACUGCUAUGGUUGUGUUAAUGAUGACAGAGUGUUCCCAUCGUUGAAGCCAAACUGACAGAUGAGCCUGGUGUUGAUCCUUUUGCUCAAAGGAGGGAAGAGAAGAAGAGCAGCAUCGAUAAACAAGAAAUUAACAGACGUGGGAAUUUGAAGAACGGGCCAUCGUCGGAUUUUCUCCCAGGUGAGGGGAGGCGUUCAGGGGAUUGGCUACGAAGGCGCUGGCCACCGAGCGCCGAGCGGCAGCUAGCCUACAACGAAGAUCUGCACAAGGGCGCUACAAGAUCUGCAUGGACGUCCUAGAAUCCACCGGUCUGUAGUAACAUGAGUCCCACGCUCGGCCUCCUGCAAGGGCGACCUUUCGUACUCCCAAAAGCAGACCUGGUUCAAGAUCAGAGGCAACAAGUAAGCUCCUACUAUGUGUCUAUGUUAAUCUGUCAUCUCAGUAUAAUUCAUCCCCAUCCCACUACAUUUAGUUCAGUUCAGUUAAGUGAUUAGGCAUAAUGCGCGAAUGCAAGCAAGGUUGGGAGGAAUGGGUCGAUGGUGUCAUGCCUCGGCGCACGGGACCAGGUAAGGCAACUUGCACUUUGAUUUCCAAAGUGGUGGUUUGGACUUUGGACAGUACUAUAACCCGAUGGUCAUCUUCUCGAUCUACAUCAGUAUUCUGUAGAGGCUGUGAACAAGCUUGAGGGACCUGAAAGUUGAGUGAUGGUUUUCCUUUUUUUUCAAGUAUUUUAUAAUUUUUUAUUCUCCACUCUAAACAGUUCACUUCAAUAUCUCUUACACAAAAGCAACUCCCAAGGGCGUUCUGAAGCUUACGAAAGUGGAAGGCCUAAACAUCUAUCAUCUAAAGAUUCAUUUGCAGAUACUACUUUAGGGUUAUUUCGCCACUUCACUGAAAAUGAAACCAAACAUCUCUUCUUCUUUUCUUUGUUGAACAGAAGUACCGACACACAAAGUAUAUUCCAUAGAUCAAAGAAGAGUAAAUGUGUAUAUCGCACAAUUCAAAGGUUAAAAUAUUGUUCUGCUAAAUACCCCCAUCAUCUCAGUAGUUUGUGGGUCAUUACGAUCAGCAUUUACGAUUUGCAUCAAAGUUUUCUAUGCAUGCAAACAAAACUACUCUGAUCAAGUUGGUAUGGAGUUGGACACCCAGACUUUUUGCGCAUCUAAGUGUCGUGACAUUGAUUGUUUCAUCUAAUUCUCCAUGUGCCAAGUGAUGUAAAUACUGAAAGGAUUACCAUUUUAUUAUAUUAACAAAGACAAUCGUUUCCUGUAACUACUACAGUAUCUUAGACCGAUUCCAACUAGAUGGAACUGGCUCAAUUGUACAAGAAGUACAAGGACCAGGGUAUGAUCUAUCUGCAUAUGAUCAGUCCUUGAUUUUCAGUUAUGAUAUAUUAUGCUUACAAUUUGAUGCGACCACAGGUUUUGAGUUCCUUACUUUCCCAUGCAAUCAGUUUGGUGGGCAGGAACCUGGCAUUAAUGAGUAAAUUGUUCAGAUUUCUUGCACUCAUUUGAAGGCCGAGUAUCUGAUUUUUGACAAGAUAAAUGUGUGCUUGAUACUCCCUCCUCCUUUUUUCUUGGUGGUUCUCUGCUUCAAGCUGAAAGAAACGAUUGCAUUUGUGUACAAUGUACACUAUGACUGCUUCCAUGAACAAUUACUAUAAUUUGAUUGAGGAAACAUGAUCCAGCCUGUGUACUCUAUUUUUAUGCAGUCUGAGCGAUAUAAAAUCUGAAACCAAUGUUGGUUAUUAAAAAAUCGGACUUUAGUUGUACCAACUGACUGGGCGUGUCCGUGCUCCUGUGUUCUUGGGGCUACGAUAACCUCCUUGUGUGCCCCUCAGCAUUAAUGAGAUAAUGUUGGUCCAAUGCUUAUAAUUUAAUCAGUGGUUCCUACUGAAUUUUUAAAAGGUCUAUGCCUAAUUUGGUGUUGCUUAUUCAAUUAGCUUCACAUGUUGCAACUAAUCAUGUUUGAUGUGCUGCCAUGCUCUCAGUAUUAUCUUGUUCAGUGCUAUAAUUUUUUUUUGAGCUUUUGUUCAGUGCUAUAAUUGGGGCCAUGCUCUUAGUAUUGUGUUGUUUUUACGCACUCAACACCUACUGCAGGUGAUAGACUCCGUAAAAAAAUCUAAGGUUAAUAUUUAUGCUCAAGGAGAAAUGGAGAAAUCUACACAUCUUGGUGAUGCUGAGAUGUGUAGGCUUUCUAAUAUUGCUUAUUCCUGAUUGAUAUGUCAUCAAAUCAAGUAAAAACGAGUAUGCUUUGAUCCAUGCCACAUCCGUUGAAUGUAACCUCUUGGUACUUCCUACUUUUCAGUAGAUUUUUGAGGGGGGAGAUACAUGGUCUCAAUACUGCAUUCGGUCUAGAAGAAGCUGAUCUGUAUGAGAUGCGGCAGUGCCAGGGGACAGUUGCUUCUGCUAUUUUUGGUUCCAAAACUAUUACUUCAUCGACUCUUUCCUGAUGUGCGGUAUUCACUCUGGAUCGAUGGGAAACUUAAACUUGUGAAGGAUCCUUAUCAGUUGUUAGAGAGAUUCUUGUGGAGGAAAAAUGUGCGCUUCGCUAUUUCCAGGCAUUAUAGACUCUUUGAUGUCCUUGAGGAAGCUGAGGCCAACAAGGCUGGUGGGAAGUAUGAUAAUGCUUCAAUCGAUAACCAAAUAGAGUUCUACAAGAGAGAGGGUUUAACCCAUUAUUCAUCAGCUAAGUUCCUUAUUACAAGCGAUGUCCCCGAGGGCUGUGUAAUUAUAGGAGAGCACAUACCCAUCACCAAUCUAUUCACAUGCCUUUGGUUCAAUGAAGUUGAUCGUUCCACCUCAAGAGAUCAGCUAAGCUUUAGCGCAGCGAGGGAUAAAAUAAGAUCAAGAGUUCUUUUUGACAACUAAAUAAGAUCAGGAGUUAAUUGGACUGUAGACAUGUUCCUGGAUUGUGGAAGGCGUGAUUUUGUUGUUCAGGUACUUUCGAGUUAAUGCUUUGUGCGGCACGUCAUUCCAUUUGCAACCUAUAAGUACUACUGCAUCUUGGUACCGAGUGCAAACUUGUGAAAUUACACAAAAAAUCCCGCAUAACGAUGGAUCUUCGCAUCGUCAUAGGGAGCUGUCUGAAAACAACAUCAGUGGACAGAUGAUUUUUUGGAAAGAACAAUGCCAGGAUCUUUGACAGAAUAGAAUUUUACUGGAGUUUGAGGCUAUAUUAUUGAUGAGGUAUCCUGGAGAGCUGCAAGCUGCCUUUCUUGUUUUGAAUCAUGUUCCUGUUGUUUUCUCCCUGGUGAGAGUGUAUUAUGUGGGUAGUGUAAUCAUCAUGAUCUCUGAGGCUAUGUAUAGAGUUGCAUCAUUGUUUUCUUGAAAAUUGACCCUCUAAAUUCAUGUUCUCUUAUAACUUAUCCUGUAAAAUCUUCUCUGUAUUUUAAUGAAGUUUGACGUCACGCCAUUGGAGAUAAUAGCAAGUGGAACAUUACAAGCCU